GCGUUGGUGGUUUAGUGGUAAAAUUGAUCGUUGCCAUCGAUUCCUGUGUUUCCUAGCACCAGAUUUGACUCGAUCAGCCCCGGGUUCGAUUCCCGGCCGACGCA
This is a non-coding RNA of Phyllosticta capitalensis, 104 nucleotides long. The record is from the annotation of a GenBank genome assembly. NCBI's taxonomy places the organism in Eukaryota, Fungi, Ascomycota, Dothideomycetes, Botryosphaeriales, Phyllostictaceae.